Molecule: ribosomal RNA, 644 nt
Filed under: uncultured Actinomycetes bacterium
Lineage: Bacteria; Bacillati; Actinomycetota; Actinomycetes
Description: bacterial SSU rRNA
Rfam family: Bacterial small subunit ribosomal RNA
Source: RNAcentral
CGCGGCCUAUCAGCUUGUUGGUGGGGUAAUGGCCUACCAAGGCGACGACGGGUAGCCGACCUGAGAGGGUGAUCGGCCACACUGGGACUGAGACACGGCCCAGACUCCUACGGGAGGCAGCAGUGGGGAAUAUUGCACAAUGGGCGCAAGCCUGAUGCAGCGACGCCGCGUGAGGGAUGACGGCCUUCGGGUUGUAAACCUCUUUCGCCAGGGACGAAGCGUAAGUGACGGUACCUGGAGAAGAAGCACCGGCCAACUACGUGCCAGCAGCCGCGGUAAUACGUAGGGUGCGAGCGUUGUCCGGAAUUACUGGGCGUAAAGAGCUCGUAGGCGGUUUGUCGCGUCGUCUGUGAAAUUCUGCAACUCAAUUGUAGGCGUGCAGGCGAUACGGGCAGACUUGAGUACUACAGGGGAGACUGGAAUUCCUGGUGUAGCGGUGAAAUGCGCAGAUAUCAGGAGGAACACCGGUGGCGAAGGCGGGUCUCUGGGUAGUUACUGACGCUGAGGAGCGAAAGCGUGGGGAGCGAACAGGAUUAGAUACCCUGGUAGUCCACGCCGUAAACGGUGGGUACUAGGUGUGGGUUCCAUUUCACGGGAUCCGUGCCGUAGCUAACGCAUUAAGUACCCCGCCUGGGGAGUACGGA